UCAAGCACCUCAUCUUUCCUUGGUGUAUCCUCAGCCCUCUCACUGAUGUGACCUUGCUCCACCCACACACACAGGUCAGAUAAAGAUGUGGGAAAAAACAGACCCAUGGAACUCCAAAAGGACAUUAAGGAAAUGCUAGAUCGAGAGUGGGGCAGACGUGAGGAGACUGUAAUGGGAAGAGUUCUGGAAAUGUUGGUAAGUGAAAUGAGUUCCCCCACUAAGCCAGAGGCUCACAGUGAGGAGCAACAGUCUCUAACAGAGGAUGUUCUGGAAAAGUUAUCCAAGAACUAUGAAAAGGGAGCAGUUCUCAAAAGUGAACGGAGUAUGGAUUUUCCUCCAUAUUUUCAAGAUGAGGACAGGAACCAGAAACUGAAGGAGUACAUUAAGGAUCUGCUUGAUCGGGACUGGAGCAGACGAGAUGAGACAUUAAUGGCAAGAGUUCUGGAAAAUUUAUGCGACAUAUUUGAUCAAGGAUCCAAAGAGUGAGUGCAGGAAUGGUUACGAGAUCAGUCUAUUGGAUAUGGUUCAGCUUCAUGCAGCGUUCAGUCAGACACCUAAGAUUUUGUUACAACCUUAAAUACUGUAGUUUAAUGUUCAGACUAUUUAUAAAUAAUGUAUAUAUUAUCCAUUCACAAUUGUACAUAAAGUAAACUGUAAAUUAGUCAUGUGACAGUAGUAAAACGUUAAAGUGUGGAUUUGUAAUCUAUGUAGUUGGCAAAGUGGAAAUAUGUCAAAAGGUAUUCAGACACUCCUUAUAAUUAUUAAAGAUGCAAUUGCUGGUUAAGGUUUUACAUAAUGUGCAUAAUAUUUACAAAAAAAAAUGGAUCAUAGAUCUAAGGUACCUGUGCCUGAUAGCAAGCAUCAACUGGGUGCUGGGUCCCUCAACACUGGACUGUCAAACAGUGGAACUGGUUUUCUGAAAUGAUGGUGCUUUAUCUGUUACCUUUGGCGUUUGUGAUCCAGAACGGAACAUUAGUACAUAUAUAUCUCUGAUGCUCAUGUGGCUGAAUGCAGUCAAAUCUACAAAACAAUGAUAUUGAUAUCUGAUGUAAAGCCUUCCCGGAAGAGUAGGGGUGUUACUGAAGGAAAAAACGAGACAACAUUCUUGUGAAAAACCUUGAUUUAAAAAAAAAAACAUUGAAGGAAGUAAUGUCUUUUGGACAAGUUUACAUUAAUUUGUUGCAUUACCUAAUCCUAAUUGUGUUGUAGGUGUGUUUUGUACUGUAUAUUGUGCAAUAUGUUGAUGGAUGGUUUAUAAAUUUUACUGUUACAUUAUUCUCAUAACCAGAUCCAGAAUUGUUAAAACACAUAACUAUAAUAAUAAGUGGUGAGUAUAUUUUAUUGGUUUGAAGAUCAUUGACAAAGUGAGGUAAAAUAAGUUAUUUUAUUUGUUGCUUAUUUUCUGUGAGGACUGUGGGUUUCAUCUACUGAAAUUAAUAAAGAAUCCACUUCCAAAAAUACA
This 1462-nucleotide long non-coding RNA is filed under the name Astyanax mexicanus (Mexican tetra). RNAcentral's name for it is "lncRNA (ENSAMXG00005025421.1)". Lineage: Eukaryota; Metazoa; Chordata; Actinopteri; Characiformes; Acestrorhamphidae. The record is from RNAcentral.